UAACCUACGGGAGGCAGCAGUGGGGAAUAUUGGACAAUGGGGGCAACCCUGAUCCAGCAAUGCCGCGUGUGUGAAGAAGGCCUGCGGGUUGUAAAGCACUUUAGGUUGGGAAGAAAAAGCACAUGCUAAUACCAUGUGAAAUUGACGUUACCAACGGAAUAAGCACCGGCUAACUCUGUGCCAGCAGCCGCGGUAAUACAGAGGGUGCAAGCGUUAAUCGGAAUUACUGGGCGUAAAGCGUGCGUAGGUGGUUGAUUAAGUCAGAUGUGAAAUCCCUGAGCUUAACUUAGGAACUGCAUUUGAUACUGAUUGACUAGAGUGUAAUAGAGGGUAGUGGAAUUCCACGUGUAGCGGUGAAAUGCGUAGAUAUGUGGAGGAACAUCAGUGGCGAAGGCGACUACCUGGAUUAACACUGACACUGAGGCACGAAAGCGUGGGGAGCAAACAGGAUUAGAUACCCCGGUAGUC
RNAcentral lists this ribosomal RNA (468 nucleotides) under uncultured Thiotrichaceae bacterium. RNAcentral's name for it is "bacterial SSU rRNA". It matches the Rfam family "Bacterial small subunit ribosomal RNA", at positions 333 to 795 of the family's 1533-position model. The record is from RNAcentral. Lineage: Bacteria; Pseudomonadati; Pseudomonadota; Gammaproteobacteria; Thiotrichales; Thiotrichaceae.